GACGAAGGGGGCUAGCGUUGUUCGGAAUUACUGGGCGUAAAGCGCGUGUAGGCGGUUAUCCAAGUUGGGUGUGAAAGCCUUGAGCUCAACUCAAGAAAUGCACUCAGUACUGGGUGACUAGAGGACCGGAGAGGAUAGUGGAAUUCCCAGUGUAGUGGUGAAAUACGUAGAGAUUGGGAAGAACACCAGUGGCGAAGGCGGCUAUCUGGACGGUUUCUGACGCUAAGACGCGAAAGCGUGGGGAGCAAACAGG
RNAcentral lists this ribosomal RNA (253 nucleotides) under uncultured bacterium. RNAcentral describes it as "partial 16S ribosomal RNA". It matches the Rfam family "Bacterial small subunit ribosomal RNA", at positions 524 to 776 of the family's 1533-position model. The record is from RNAcentral.